Molecule: ribosomal RNA, 245 nt
Filed under: Ciborinia ciborium
Lineage: Eukaryota; Fungi; Ascomycota; Leotiomycetes; Helotiales; Sclerotiniaceae
Description: partial 28S ribosomal RNA
Rfam family: Eukaryotic large subunit ribosomal RNA
Source: RNAcentral
GUGUUUGGGUGUUAAACCCAUACGCGUAAUGAAAGUGAACGGAGGUGAGAACCCUUAAGGGUGCAUCAUCGACCGAUCCUGAUGUCUUCGGAUGGAUUUGAGUAAGAGCAUAUUGGGUGCGACCCGAAAGAUGGUGAUCUUUACGUGAAUAGGGUGAAGCCAGAGGAAACUCUGGUGGAGGCUCGCAGCGGUUCUGACGUGCAAAUCGAUCGUCAAAUUUGCGUAAAGGGGCGAAAGACUAAUCG